Long non-coding RNA from Rhopilema esculentum, 1354 nucleotides. RefSeq lists it as uncharacterized. The record is from RefSeq and is a predicted model, not a curated record. NCBI's taxonomy places the organism in Eukaryota, Metazoa, Cnidaria, Scyphozoa, Rhizostomeae, Rhizostomatidae.
CAGCAACAACAUAAGUCGCAACAACAGCAACAGUUAAUGCUUCCCAGGCCACGUGCGCGAUGUUUUCAUUUUCAAACAAGUCGCAAGUAUACGAAGUACCCAUGUUAUUUACAUCAAAUGGAAACCUACCGAUUGAACCAAUGGCAAUUUAAUCAGUUUUCGACUCCGUGAAAGGUAACAGAGAGCGUGGAUACAUGUCAUGAAUAUCUUCUUACUUUGUCGAUUGAGCAGACCAUCAGCGGAUUGGAAUGAGAAGAUUGGAGAUAGCUCAACUCGCGCUUAAAAAGCAAAAUCAUAGGGUAUGAAGCAUAGGACUGGAUGGUUUCAAAACAGCAAUGCAUUGUGGGUUAAAUGGCAGUGCUGAUGGACAUAGAAAACAGCAAUGAUCGUGAACGAUAGGUGCGAAUUGACGUGCUCGACGACCAUGGUGCCAGUAUUCCAAAGACCUGAUGCCUUUUGAUGUCUGUGAAGAUUGUGGGAUUGCUUCUUUGAAAAGAAAACAUUAUUUGUGAUACAUGUAUCGAUAUUCGAGUGUCAAAAAUGAGAUUGCUUGGAUAAAGUAAUUCGAAGGCAAAGUUCUGAGAGGUUGAAGAUUACAGGACCCUGAGUCACGCCUUAGCAUUGAAUGGCUUUCGUUUAGGUAUAAUCUGCUAUUAUUGUAGCUAAUAAGUUGCAUCCCAUAAUAGUUGCUAAAAGCCAACAACAUACGUAGUAUUCGACGUAUAAACUUACCUGACAAUUAUUUAAUUUGUUCUCUCAGCAAUUUCCAGCAUUUUCGCGCUCCUUUAUUGACCGUGACUAGAGUUGUUUGCUGUAAGAGGGUCUUCGAGGGCAUUUCUCUCAGGCAUUGAUGCCUCUCUGGUCUAUUGUUUGAAUUGCACGGGAAAAUGAAAAGGUUUUUAGCAUUCAUUUUCAAAUGAUUCAACCAAAGAAUGGGGCAGGGGGCUCAGCCUUUUCUGUGUAUGAGCAAAUAAGGGCAUACGAUAUUCAAAAGAUAUUGCUUUGUGGAACUCAGUCCAAAAACAGAUUUCUUAGGGACUUAUCCGUUUUUAAGAGGUUUCUUCAUUCAAUCUCAAUUUACUUUGACUUGCACUGCUUAUCCUUUGUAUUUGUUUCCAUUACAAUAAAAAUGUUGUAUCUUUUGUCAUUUCAAUGUUGCUAAAUUUUAAUAUGGUAUAGUCCUGCGUCGAUUUGCCCCUACCAUGGAAGUAAGAAAUUGCUAAGAAAUCCUCACCUUUGAAUAAGUUGCCAAUUGUUGCCUUUUGAUCAGUAUCAUGAUAUUAGUCCAUGAUAAGUCACAUAUGCAGCAGUAAAUGACAAGCUAAGAUAAACGAGGUAUUUUUACCAUUUUUUA